This 72-nucleotide transfer RNA is filed under the name Caldisericota bacterium. RNAcentral describes it as "Caldiserica bacterium tRNA-Gln". It matches the Rfam family "tRNA". From Rfam's summary of the family: Transfer RNA (tRNA) molecules are approximately 80 nucleotides in length. Their secondary structure includes four short double-helical elements and three loops (D, anti-codon, and T loops). The record is from RNAcentral. Lineage: Bacteria; Pseudomonadati; Caldisericota.
UCGGGGGUCGUCCAAGUGGUAGGACACGGGACUUUGGAUCCCGGAAUAGAGGUUCGAAUCCUCUCCCCCGAG